GAGGUGUGUAUUGUUUAAUAAAUUUUUUCUAAUCUAUUUGAUUUGAACUUAAAUUAUUUAAUUAUCUCAAAUAAUAAUUCUAAGUAACAAAUUAUUUACUUAAUUAGUAAGUAAAAUUACUUAGUUAAUUAGUACAAACAAAAUUUCAUAAUAAUUAAAUUAAUAUAAUAUAAUUAAUUUGAAAAAAUGUAUUAGUUUACAAAUUAGAUUAAUCUGAAAUGAUUAUAUAAUAUAUGCUUACAAAUUAUAUGUACUAUUUUAAUUAUUAUCAGUAACAGAUUUAUAAUUAUUAUAGAAUAACUGAUCUAAUUUUAUAAACGUGAUUAUUAAAAUUUUUAAACCCAACGAAUUCAAUUUAGUAACAUCUCAAAAGUCAUAGCAAGG
This 384-nucleotide ribosomal RNA is filed under the name Alpova corsicus. RNAcentral's name for it is "partial small subunit ribosomal RNA". The record is from RNAcentral. Lineage: Eukaryota; Fungi; Basidiomycota; Agaricomycetes; Boletales; Melanogastraceae.